AUGAAAGACCAUUCUGAUUUUUUUGACCAUACCUUUAUUUUGAAAUCUGUACCCCGGAUGUUUUUCCCGCUGCGUCACUUGUAUUUCCGGCGGCAGCAUCAGUGGCUGCAUCUCAGUGGAGUGAUAAAAAAGCAGCACGUUUGCUCGGGAACCGGUUUUCUUUAUCUCUUCUUUUCCUUUUCUUCAGUUUGGUUGUAUCGCUCGUCUGGAGUCGGGGAGUCCUCCUUGACCACCGCGACCAUGUACGGGCCACGCAAACCCGCGCACGGCACGCCGUACGGACCCCCGCCACCACACGGCCCUCCCUUCUCCCACAGGCGGCCCUGUGGACCUGCUCCUCCCGGACACUUGCCCCCGGGACCUUUCGGACCAUUUUCGACACCAGAUAGCCAUUUUCUCCAGAACAGAGCACCAAGAGAGCGUUUCAUGAGUCCCCACUGUAGCAGCUUCUCCAUAGACCGUAGUACGGUGAUGCAGCAUGCAGAACCACCACAACUCCCAAAGUGGAAUCCCACCCCUGUGGAUCAUCAUCUUCAAGACAACAGUCAACGAGCUGGAGAGGAAUUCUUGAGAUGCAUUGCGGCUAAUAAGCCUCUCCCAGAUUAUCUAAAGGGGGACAUGGCAUACAACCUUGCUGAGGCCUUAAAGUCGGCUAAUGUCCUGAAAGAUGUAGUCAAAUCAGACCAUGAGUUCCAGAAGCAUGUGAACCGGAGCGGAAGUCGAAGCAGAAGCCGUGACAGAAGCCGUGGAAAAUCUCGUGCUAAGAGCUCUGCGCGAAGCAGGAGCCGAGUGCGCAGCCGAAGCAGAGGAAGGAGUAAAAGUCACGCUCAUGGCAAGAGUCGCGCUAGAAGCAAAAGCAGGGCAAGAAGCAAGAGCAGGGCAAGAAGCAAGAGCAGGGCAAGAAGCAAAAGCAGGGCAAGAAGCAAGAGCAGGGCAAGAAGCAAAAGCAGGGCAAGAAGCAAGAGCAGGGCCCGCAGUAAGAGUCGGAGCAGCAGCCGAAGCAGGAGGAAAAGUCGUGCACGGAGCAAGAGUCGGGUCAGGAGGUCCGAGUCACGAAGUAGCAGCAUUGAAAAGAGCCGUGCUGCCAACUGUAAUAAUUGGACAGGGAAAAGUCUGUUGCAGGGACUGAAGAUGGUCAUGAACAGCAAGGAACUGGAAGAGCGGUUGCCUACCCUCAAAGACGCCAUCUUCACUAUUCAGACGUCUGACAGCAAAAAGGUUCUGGAUGAGCAUGACGAAGCCAUGAAUUUGGCUUCUCUGGAAAACGACAGUAUGCUUCUUCCCCACGACAGAGUAGGCAGUGACUUCUCCUGGCUCCAAUCAACGAAGGAAGAGGACUCCACAGACAGGAAAGCUGAAGAACUUGAAGACGAGGAGUCGUUCCUAUAUGGGAAUGAAGGCACUGGAAGAAAACCAACCACUAAAUCCUCUACCGCCCUUUUCCCAGUGUUUUCUCAGACCGGAGAACAUUCCAAACUGCAUAAAAUGGAUGUUUCUGCUCCGAGCAGUCAACAGCAUAAUAAGAGCAUGUCCGCACUCGGUAGCUUUGGGGAUCUGCUCGACCUGAAGGUGCCUCUUCAAAUGAUUUCCUCUUUUAACCUGGACAGCGGUGAUUAUGAGAAGAUCAGGAGCAUAUUAAGAAGUCAGGGCACAGCAGACAUCAGCAAUAUCAUGGCGAAGAUGCAGGGGGAGAAGCAGCCGUCUCCUGCAGAUCCAACAGCGGCGGCCUUCGCUUUGCCAGCAAUGAAAAACCCUAAUGUACAGCAAGCUCUGGAAUCUCUACAGUCUCUGAUAAAAGCGACAAAGGAGAAGCGGGAAAAAGGUGACGGCAGUGGCACGCCUCACACCUCUGACAAACACAAGUCAAGUGACGAUGGGGAACUGAAGACAGAGAAACAGGCAAGAAUGAGUAAAAUGGAAUCUUUGAUGAAAGAAAUGGAGGGAUUGAUGAAACAGGACGGACUGAGUUUUCUGACACCAGUGGUUGGGUUUUACUGCCAAAAAUGUGAGGAGUUCAUUGGAGAUUUAAGCUCUGCUGAAAAACAUGCGGCCAUCCACCAACACACUAACUCUAGCAGUAAAAUGCAAGUGGGUCAACAUGCUGGACAGACCACUGAAGGCAGCAAAGGACACUCCCACUCAAUUAGCAGCGGUGGCGGCCAACGACACCCACACCCCUCAGACAGGAGAGAUCACAGGAACUACGCCUACCAGAGAGAUUCAGGAGACCACAGAAAUCGCAGAGACCAGCAGCAGGGCUGGAGGAGUGAGCAGGAUAACAGAGGCAAGGUCGACGACAACUGCAGAAAUCACAGGGAGGGGCCGGAGAACAUCUCCUUGAAGGAGGAGAUGAGUAAGGAGAGGAUGCUCAUCACGGUGUCACGUGGACUGACUCCGCCGAACGUAAAAGUCAAAGAGGGGAAGAUCCCUGACGUCAAGGUCUGAGUUUUAUCUUCUCGCUCCUGGACACCAUGCGGUAGUUUUCCUUUCUCUUCCCAGUUAGCUCUUCUUUGCUGGUGAGAUCAGAAGACGGAGGUAGGCCGUCAGAAGUGAUUCAUCAUUGUCCUUAAAGGAACAGUCUGACCUGUCGGGAAGUGCACACCUACAUUAAUAAGAGAAGAGUAGUAUCAGUUUCAUCUCUGUGCGUCUAGUAUCGAAUGAGUAAUGCGGAUGUUUUGACCUGUUGGAGGCGCCAUCCUCUCGAUACAACCUCUUCCAGUAUUUGUGCUCACCAUGUGUAAACAUGUCCCACAAUGACACACACACAUACACACAUGAAAUCGAUAUUAAUCUUCUCCUUUGGCUGUCGCUACCUUUUCAAACAAGUGCAUUUCCUGACUGUAGACAAGCUCCUCUUACUGUGUCGCUACCAACAGGUUUUUAUAUGAAAAUGACGAUGUAAAUGUUUAACGUUUCAUCUUCUGAUUAAAUGUUUGAAAAAGGAAGCUUGUGUUAUUCCUUAAAACACAUUUAUCUUUCUUCUUGAUACUUAGAAUUUUCGAGCUAGACAUGUAAUAUUUUUCCAUUUUCUACUGACUUGGAUGCAUGAAAAACAACAUGACGCGUCUCUUGUGGUGAAAUUUUAGAUGAAAAAACAAAUAUGUGUGCAAUUUAAUAAAGGAUGACUCAAAGUCAUGUUAUUGUAAAGUGACAACACAAGUACCUUCACCUCUUUGCAGCACAUUACCAAAUUUACAGGUAGGCAGCAGAAUCCUGAACAUUUAGUGCUGACUUUUCUACUUUACAUUGAUAUAUACAGUACAUAUACAUUAUGACAUACUUUUGUCAUUUACACUGGAGGCACGGGCAAUGUUUUGAGUCGCAGUGAGGAGUUUGCAGUAGAACUGUUUUUAUAGGUAGAUACGCAGGUAUCAGUCGCAACACACCUUACAUUGAUACAAAAAUUACAAAUACAAAUGUAAAAAUAUGAAGAAAAAAAAGGAAUAUAUAUAUAUAUGAAGAAUGUACAAAACAUAAUGCUGUAAUGAAGACAGAACUUUCGGUCAUAGCUUCGUCCUACAGCAACGGGUACUGAGCCACGACAUGAGAUGAAGAGAAACGGACGGAGGGUUCACGGGAUGAAGAGCAGCACAGUCUCCAGACGUAAACCUCACGGACACCAGGUGAAGGCAAAGCAAACUACAAGCUCAACACAUCAGUGUCAACUUCUGGGACAAACUUUGUGAACAGUGUUUCGUUUCCAAUUAAAAGAAAGAACUUAAUGAGUGCGUUCAACUGGUAAAUGAG
Molecule: long non-coding RNA, 3747 nt
Organism: Scophthalmus maximus (turbot)
Lineage: Eukaryota; Metazoa; Chordata; Actinopteri; Pleuronectiformes; Scophthalmidae
Source: Ensembl